CGUAGUGGCAAGCGUUGUCCGGAUUUAUGGGUUAAAGGGUGCGUAGGCGGUCCUAUAAGUCAGCUGUGAAAUACGGCAGCUUAACUGUCGAGGUGCAAUUGAUACUGCAGGACUUGAGUACAGACGAGGUAGGCGGAAUUGACGGUGUAGCGGUGAAAUGCUUAGAUAUCGUCAAGAACACCGAUAGCGAAGGCAGCCUACUAGACUGUAACUGACGCUGAUGCACGAAAGUGUGGGGAUCAAACAGGAUUAGAUACCCUGGUAGUCCACACUGUAAACGAUGAUUACUCGAUGUUGGCGAUACACAGCCAGCGUCUUAGCAAAAGCGAUAAGUAAUCCACCUGGGGAGUACGCCGGCAACGGUG
This 365-nucleotide ribosomal RNA is filed under the name uncultured organism. RNAcentral's name for it is "bacterial SSU rRNA". It matches the Rfam family "Bacterial small subunit ribosomal RNA", at positions 527 to 896 of the family's 1533-position model. The record is from RNAcentral.